RNAcentral lists this long non-coding RNA (1240 nucleotides) under Triticum aestivum (bread wheat). RNAcentral's name for it is "long non-coding RNA (TAES_LNC009873)". The record is from RNAcentral. Lineage: Eukaryota; Viridiplantae; Streptophyta; Magnoliopsida; Poales; Poaceae.
CGGAGGCGAGCCAACAGCGAGCUGCUGCAGUGUUUUGCCCCUCCUUUCCCCACGAGCUCUCGACUCCUCCUCUGUCACUCACGCGGCAAGCAGCGAGCUAGCAACUCUCAGGCGGUAGCUCUCCAGUUGGUCGUCACUUUAUUGGCAGUAGCAACACCACUAAGGUAUGCUCCUCUUUUUGUUCUUUUUCACAUCCACUGUUCAAAUCUAUAUAACUACACACACCAUAAUUAUUACUAGAUUAGAUGAUAGUUUGUAUUAUCUAGACUUCUGUUUUUACUGAUGUAAGGGAAAAAACAUGUGGGAGGUUUUUUUGCUCUUGGUUUGAUAUGUCGUUGCAGAAAGGUUUUGUUUUACAAGGAGAUGAACUGUCAUUGCUUACAAGUUCAGAUCAGAAGGUGGGUGCAUAUAGUACAGAAAAUUGUAUACCUAAUUGAUUAUUAGUCUAAACGGAAGGUUUACCAGGUAUGUGUGCAAGUCUGUGGGGAGGACAUGGAUUUUGAGAUCCAGCUCCUGCCCGUAUGUGCAAGAAAUUCAUGACCUACAUCUCUAAUAUAGCAUGGUAAAUCGUUUUUAUUCUUGAUCUAUCCAUUACGUUAUGUUCCAUUUCCUGGUAGGAAUUCUGUUUUAAUUUCGCAUGCUGUUCAAACACAUAAGCACUUGAUGUGCAUUACUGACGUACUGAGGAAAUGCUACAGCUUGAUGUCUAUGUACAUUUGGAACUUUAGUUCUGACGAGAUGUGUCUUGUGGAGUAUAUUGGCUUCCAGUACAACUGAGCAUGAUUUAUUGGCAAUAUACUGCUGCACUACAUUAUUCCCGAGUCAAGCAUAACAUUUUGGGCAUAACUUUACAUGCAGUGCAAUUUGGCAAAACAGAUGAGAAAUUCCUUCUUAUUCCAGAACCACUUAAAUUUCCCCCGUACCUAUUUCCCCAUUUGAUCUUUGUAGGAGAUAUUGGCACAAUGACUUUAUGUUUUUAGCAGUAUUGUUUGUAUUUUCUUUUGCAAGACAUGCUUUAGAAAUUGGACUGUAGCAGUUUGGUCUCUUGAGCUCACAAGAUCUGUUCUUACUAACAGAGCUGCUUACAAACGUACCGGUCAUUAAUUACCAAUUAAUGGUUGCAUAAUCUGACUGCUUUCUCUCCUAUGGAUCAUGCUUACAGUUGAGUAUCCACUGAUUCCUAAAUGCUUGAACUGGCUAUACAUCUCCUUUUGUAAAUCAUUCUAGCUCCUGAUUACCA